Molecule: ribosomal RNA, 474 nt
Filed under: Triticum aestivum (bread wheat)
Lineage: Eukaryota; Viridiplantae; Streptophyta; Magnoliopsida; Poales; Poaceae
Description: partial small subunit ribosomal RNA
Source: RNAcentral
AUGGUGGUGUUGUCUGAAGAAAAAGACAGAGCAUUCAGAGGGGGAAAACAGGGAAAGGAAGAAGAGAGAGAGACGGAGAUGGCAGGGCACGGCGACCUGCGGAACGACUGGGGCGACGGCCUGAUGCUGCUGCUGGUGGCGCUCGAGACGAAGCUAGAACGGGGGCAGCCAUGGUGUUCCUGUGCACGGGGAAGAUGUGAGACAGAUAAGAGAAAGAGAGGGGAGUUAGAGGAAAAGGAAGGGAAGAAAAGGAGCAGGGGCGGCGAGCAGUUCCUGUUGGUGCUCGGCGUCAAGGUGCGUCGGGGCGGUGCUGCUGGUCCGGCGGCUGGACUCCGCGAGAAGAGGUGGUCCUGGAUGAGGAGGAGGAUUGCACGAUCGGGAGCACCUCUCCUGAUCGAGCUCGUGGAUGAGGGGGUCGAGCGCUCGGGCUCUAGAUCGAGAGGAGGAGGGGCUCGCUGGUUGGGUUGGUGGUGA